Molecule: non-coding RNA, 169 nt
Organism: Peromyscus maniculatus bairdii (prairie deer mouse)
Lineage: Eukaryota; Metazoa; Chordata; Mammalia; Rodentia; Cricetidae
Source: RefSeq, a predicted model, not a curated record
CAGGUCUUCUAAACUCAGAAGUAGGCCCAAGAGUUUGAUCUUCACCUGGAGAAAAAGAAAAACAGAACAGGUGAAGCUGCCUCCUUAACCCUUUCAGGCCGUGCUCCACAUGACAAUCGAGGAAGCCUUGGGGAUCAGCCUGAGGCACUCACCGAAGUAAGGGGCUUGG